This is an RNA transcript of Rhinopithecus roxellana (golden snub-nosed monkey), 903 nucleotides long. It is a transcript of the gene named high mobility group protein B3 pseudogene, with no coding region annotated. The record is from RefSeq and is a predicted model, not a curated record. Lineage: Eukaryota; Metazoa; Chordata; Mammalia; Primates; Cercopithecidae. The transcript has a single exon.
UGCCUUGCGCUGCCCAGACUAGCGGACAAUACAGUCAGGAUGGCUAAAGGUGACCCGAAGAAACCAAAGGGCAAGAUGUCUGCUUAUGCCUUCUUUGUGCAGACGUGCAGAGAAGAACAUAAGAAGAAAAACCCAGAGGUCCCUGUGAACUUUGCAGAAUUUUCCAAGAAGUGCUCUGAGAGGUGGAAGACGAUGUCCGGGAAAGAGACAUCUAAAUUUGAUGAAAUGGCAAAGGCAGAUAAAGUGUGCUAUGACCGGGAAAUGAAGGAUUAUAGACCAGCUAAGGGAGGCAAGAAGAAGAAGGAUCCUAAUGCUCCCAAAAGGCCACCGUCUGGAUUCUUCCUGUUCUGUUCAGAAUUCCGUCCCAAGAUCAAAUCCACAAACCCCGGCAUCUCUAUUGGAGACGUGGCAAAAAAGCUGGGUGAGAUGUGGAAUAAUUUAAAUGACAGUGAAAAGCAGCCUUACAACCCUAAGGCAGCAAAGCUGAAGGAGAAGUAUGAGAAGGAUGUUGCCGACUAUAAGUCAAAAGGAAAGUUUGAUGGUGCAAAGGGUCCUGCUAAAGUUGCCCGGAAAAAGGUGGAAGAGGAAGAUGAAGAAGAGGAGGAGGAAGAAGAGGAGGAGGAGGAGGAGGAUGAAUAAAGAAACUGUUGAUCUGUCUCCUUGUGAAUACUUAGAGUAGGGGAGCGCCGUAAUUGACUCAUCUCUUAUUUGAGAAGUGUCUGUUGCCCUCAUUAGGUUUAAUUACAAAAUUUGAUCACGGUCAUAUUGUAGUCUCUCAAAGUGCUCUAGAAAUUGUCAGUGGUUUACAUGAAGUGGCCAUGGGUGUCUGGAGCACCCUGAAACUGUAUCAAAGUUGUACAUAUUUCCAAACAUUUUUAAAAUGAAAAGGCACUCUUCGUGUUC